ACGGAAGGCAGCAGUAGGGAAUCUUCGGCAAUGGGGGCAACCCUGACCGAGCAACGCCGCGUGAGUGAAGAAGGUUUUCGGAACGUAAAGCUCUGUUGUAAGAGAAGAACGUGUGUGAGAGUGGAAAGUUCACACAGUGAUGGUAACUUACCAGAAAGGGACGGCUAACUACGUGCCAGCAGCCGCGGUAAUACGUAGGUCCCGAGCGUUGUCCGGAUUUAUUGGGCGUAAAGCGAGCGCAGGCGGUUUAAUAAGUCUGAAGUUAAAGGCAGUGGCUUAACCAUUGUUCGCUUUGGAAACUGUUAGACUUGAGUGCAGAAGGGGAGAGUGGAAUUCCAUGUGUAGCGGUGAAAUGCGUAGAUAUAUGGAGGAACACCGGUGGCGAAAGCGGCCUACUGGGCUUUAACUGACGCUGAGGCACGAAAGCGUGGGUAGCAAACAGGAUUAGAUACCCUGGUA
This 459-nucleotide ribosomal RNA is filed under the name uncultured Streptococcus sp. Its description in RNAcentral is "bacterial SSU rRNA". It matches the Rfam family "Bacterial small subunit ribosomal RNA", at positions 341 to 792 of the family's 1533-position model. Lineage: Bacteria; Bacillati; Bacillota; Bacilli; Lactobacillales; Streptococcaceae. The record is from RNAcentral.